This 467-nucleotide ribosomal RNA is filed under the name uncultured bacterium. RNAcentral's name for it is "partial 16S ribosomal RNA". It matches the Rfam family "Bacterial small subunit ribosomal RNA", at positions 28 to 506 of the family's 1533-position model. The record is from RNAcentral.
GACGAACGCUGGCGGCGUGCUUAACACAUGCAAGUCGAACGGAAAGGCCCUGCUUUUGUGGGGUGCUCGAGUGGCGAACGGGUGAGUAACACGUGAGUAACCUGCCCUUGACUUUGGGAUAACUUCAGGAAACUGGGGCUAAUACCGGAUAGGAGCUCCUGCUGCAUGGUGGGGGUUGGAAAGUUUCGGCGGUUGGGGAUGGACUCGCGGCUUAUCAGCUUGUUGGUGGGGUAGUGGCUUACCAAGGCUUUGACGGGUAGCCGGCCUGAGAGGGUGACCGGCCACAUUGGGACUGAGAUACGGCCCAGACUCCUACGGGAGGCAGCAGUGGGGAAUAUUGCACAAUGGGCGGAAGUCUGAUGCAGCAACGCCGCGUGCGGGAUGACGGCCUUCGGGUUGUAAACCGCUUUCGCCUGUGACGAAGCGUGAGUGACGGUAAUGGGGAAAGAAGCACCGGCUAACUACGU